UCUUCUAAUAAUGGAAAAAAUAUCUUCGGGUGAGGAUUAAAAAAAAAAAAGGCAAGAAGUGAUGAACUGGACACUGAAAGGCACUGCCUUGAUAAGAAUGCGUUUUCCUCCAUGAGAUUGAGCAGAGAAGAUGCUGUGUCUAGUACACAGAAGGCAUUCCAUCAAUAUCCAUUGAAUAGAAGAUGCUACUGACCUUACAGGAGUAAGAUGCAAAAUUUUCCCAUUAUUGUCAGUGAAGAGAACAACUUGCUGUGACUCUUCAUGAUUUUGCCCUUCCCCAGGACAAAAAGUACUUGCAAGAAGGCUAACUAAAGUUAACGUCUUUGAGAUCUUGAAUACAGUAAAGCCAACGCAUACUUUGAUCAAUGUAAAAUUUUCAAAAAGAAAUAAUACUUAAAACCAAAGUUACAAAUUGCAAUCUAUUUAAACUUUAAUUUGUGCAUCUGUGGUAAUUUAUGACUGCAAAACACUUUUUUCUUAGAAUGACAUAAUUAAAGGCACAUUUCAUAUGAAUGCAUAGUGUACCAUUCUAAAAUAUUUUAAUUUCCUCACAAAGUGCUUGAGCAGUCACUUACACAUACAGUAAUAGCAAAAUAUAUUUACACUCUAUAGAGUUUAAAAAUUUUAAAUCUGACUAAAAUAUAUAUAUAUAUGUUUAAAACUACAGAAAAAAUUAGUGCUUUCUUCAGCUUACUGGUGUGAAUAUACCCUGCCCUCUAAUUUUUUUUAGUGAUUGGCUUUAAUUAAAAAAAAAAUUUCUGUACAUUGUGUAGUUACAAAAAUGCUGUCAGUUUUUAAUGCUAAAAGCCUAUUUUAGACAUUGCUUUUUAUACAUAUUUGAGAACCUGAAAAGGUGAAAAGACUGUACCUCAAAAGUAUUUAGUGUUUUUUUAAAAUGUUGUGUUAAUACUGUUUAAAUUAAAGCCAGGCAAUUAAGCUAAGAUCCUCUAUUGUCCUUUACCAAAAGUCAACUGGCAUUUAAAAAUAACUUGAAACAACAUAUUGCUCCUUCUAGAAGAUUAUCCCCCAAAGGAUCUUGGGUAAUAAUCAACUUGAAAGGAAAUAUGAAUUAUCUCUGAACCAUUUGAAUUGUUCUCAGAGUACAGCAAAAACAUGCCAACACCCUCUAGCAAGGCUGAAAUAUUUAUAAAUGUUUUCAGCUCAACUCUCUGCUUUCGUGUUUCUCAUGAUUUAAACUUGAACAGUUUUUAAGACAUGAGAUCACUGUGAUUAAAUGGUUACUUCAGAAUGUUCAGUUAAUAACUUGCUUUCCUGAGGUAUGAUGAACCUAAUAUGCUAAGCACAGAAUCAAAGAUGUUAUUAUUGAACUAAGGAAAAACAAUGAAGUCAUGGACUAGAAGGGAAAAACAAAUGAACAAACAAACAAAAAUAUCCAAAACUCCAGGCAAGUGGAAAAGUCAUGGCUUACAAAAAGACUUUCCUAUAAGAGCAUUAAAAAGCCACGAAAGGAUCCUCUGAAAAGUUGUAUAAAGUACUUGAUCAAAUUAUUUUUGAGACUUUUGAGGUACAGCUUUAGUGUUAUAAUUUUUAUAAAAUAUAAACUGUUUUAUCAAAAAUAUUUAUACAUUCUGUUACAAUAUAUUGCUUUUGCCCUUAGUAACUGCCAAUAUAAAAUCUGGAUCCAGUGGCCUAAAAUGUACAAAUGCACUUAACAAAUGCGGGAGUUUGAGGUGUCUGCUUGGCCACUGUACAAAGUGAUGAAGUGGUGAAAUUAAA
Long non-coding RNA from Myotis brandtii (Brandt's bat), 1737 nucleotides. RefSeq lists it as uncharacterized. The transcript has 2 exons. The record is from RefSeq and is a predicted model, not a curated record. Lineage: Eukaryota; Metazoa; Chordata; Mammalia; Chiroptera; Vespertilionidae.